This is a non-coding RNA of Canis lupus familiaris (dog), 90 nucleotides long. The record is from Rfam. Lineage: Eukaryota; Metazoa; Chordata; Mammalia; Carnivora; Canidae.
GGGGGGAGGCCGGAUCCUGGGCUUGUCCCAGGCGCCCAGUGAUCCCGCGCCUGCACUGUUGGAUUCGCGCUCGGGGUAGCGCAGCCGCCU